RNAcentral lists this long non-coding RNA (5114 nucleotides) under Callithrix jacchus (white-tufted-ear marmoset). RNAcentral's name for it is "lncRNA (ENSCJAG00000083542.1)". The record is from RNAcentral. Lineage: Eukaryota; Metazoa; Chordata; Mammalia; Primates; Cebidae.
AGCGACACAAAAGAUGUCAUCACAUGUCUAUAACAAAUAACGAAGCAAGCCCAGCAAGGUGACUUCGGCGGGGGGGUGGGGGGGGUAGAAAUACCGGUGCUCCCCAACAAUUCUUUCAACGGAUGUGUGAAAAAAAAAUGUGUAAAGAAAUGUUGAAAGCCAGCUAGGUCAGGACUGAAAGAGGAGGAAGGGGGACGAGGAGAGAGAGAAGAAGAGAAGAAGAAGAAGAGGGAGAGGGAGGGGAGGGGAGGGGAGGGGAGGGGAGGAAGAAGAGAGAAAGAGAGAGAUGCUAGAAAGAAAAGCCUCCUAGAACGUCUUUUUCGUUUUGGGCUUUUCCUAUUGAGGUGCCUAGAAGCGGAAGGAGUUUUCCCGCGAUCCCGGGGAUUAAUAAACGCUUUCCGGUUCCGUGGCAGGCGAGCUGGCAGGGAGAAAGGAGCUCGGCGCCUGUGGGGCGGGGCAUGCAAAUUAAAAAUGGCCGUUUCGCCCGGGAGCUAUGGGAGCAAAAAGAGAAAGCCUUGCAGCACAGAGAGAGACUCCGUUUGGUUUGGAGAAACUAAGGGGAAAAGAACAAGAAUCUCUGCCUGAUAAUCCGGAGAAUUCUUCCGGAUUUCGUCCAGGACCACCAGGGCAGUACCUCUACAAGUCUGUGAGAAUCACACCAUUAUUGAGCUUGGGGCACACAUACCCCUGGAAUACCCGAGGACACACAGAAACAAGGCCAGACUGGGAAAAAUACAAUAAAUACCGAACUCUUUCACGUGAAGACAAAACAAACAUCCAUGAUGGGCAUCAAGACCAUCCUAGAGACAGCGGACACCAGUACUCCAAGAUGGCUCGGUCCUACCAUUGAAGGACAAGAAGCUUCUGGAGGUCAAACUAGGAGAGCUGCCAAGCUGGAUCUUGAUGCGGGACUUCAGCCCUAGUGGCAUUGUCCGAGUGUUUCGAAGAGGUUACUACCAGUACUAUAACAAAGAUACCAACGUGAAGAAGGGCAGGAUCGCGGGGAUUACCAUGGUGCUGGCAUGCUACGUGGUCUUCAACUACACCUUUUCCUACGAGGAGCCCAAGCAUGAGCGGCAACGCAAGUACCACUGAAGAAGACAAGCUCUGCACUCCCCUCCACGGCCUUCUUGGCUUGAGCCCCUCCAUAAGGAACACAGUCUCGAUUAUUGCUGAAGCCUUUCAUAUCCUAAUGGAAUUAACCUCGAAGUAAAAGAUGACUGGUUAAAAACAAACAAACAAACAAAACCAUCCUAGAGUUGGCCGGGCGUGGUGGCUCACGCCUAUAAUCCCAGCACUUUGGGAGGCCCAGGCGGGUGGAUCACCAGGUCAAGAGAUCGAGACCAUCCUGGUCAACAAGGUGAAACCCCGUCUCUACUAAAAAUACAAAAAUUAGCUGGGCAUGGUGGCGCGCGCCCGUAGUCCCAGCUACUCGGGAGGCUGAGGCAGGAGAAUUGCUUGAACUCGGGAGGCGGAGGUUGCGGUGAGCCGAGAUUGCGCCAUUGCACUCCAGCCUGGGUAGCAAGAACGAAACUCCGUCUCAAAAAAAAAAAGAUAGUCUGGUGGCUCUUCAUUAACCCCUUUCUGGGAGCACUGAGAUCUUGUAACUAGGAAAUUGCUCAUGAUUAAGGGCCCCCAUUUAAAUCUUGCUGACCUCACACCAAAAAAUUAAAGGAACAGUAAUCUUUCCAAAACUCCUAUGAGAAUACAAAAAUAGUGGGAGAAUGUAGACUCAUACAGUUUCCAUUCAAGGUCUAGAACUGAAUCUCUACUCAGGUCAGGUCAGUUGCAGAACGAAAGACAUGGGCUUUAGACUUAAGAAGACUUGGGUCUGAGUUCUGAUGUCACUGCAUAACAACAGCUCUAGAUCUCAACUCAGAACAAACACAUAUCAAAUAAUUUGGAAGAUUAAAAGAGAUGAUGUACAAAAUGCCUGUCACGGUGCUAUUACUGUAACCAGGAACCUGCAUCUGAGUCUUCACAAAAGGUCAUCCGGGCCUAUGAAAACAACAGGAAGCUGAAACUCUAUAAACUCUAUAAACGAGUUUAUUUCCCUUCUAGCUUCCCUAGUUUUUAAUCUAUAAAAUAUGGACUUUAUCUGCCUUUACCUGCCCCUAGGGUUGAUAGAAGGGGAAAAAAAGAGAAAACAAAUGAGAGUGUGGUUUAGAAAGUAAUACUCGUAAAAUGAACUUAGAGUGGUACGAUAAUAAUAAUUUUUCUGGCUAACCCGAUGAGGGAUGAAGGUGGUGAGGGAGGAAGGCAGGGAGGGAUGAUAGGGUCCACUCCAUUUAUGCAAACCAACGGUUAAGUAGCCUGGAUCUGAGAACACAAGUUCAUGUGCCUUGGGUGCCUAUCUGAAAGGCCUUUGACAGGACAGCCUCCAGAAUGGAGAAGACAGCAGCACGUGCGCUCAACACACACACACACACACACACACACACACACUCUCUCUCUCUCUCUCUCUCUCUCUCUCUCUCUCUCUCUCUCUCUCUCUCUCGUUAAUAAUUUUCCAGGUGUUGUGGUGCUGAGAAAUGUGUCUAGGUAGCCGAUGGCGCUCUUCCAGAAUGGCCUAGCUAUGGUCCUGAGGUCAAAUGCGCCCUUUACAGACGUGGAAAUGGUUCAGGUUUGAGGCACGGGACUGCCUGCCUGUGGCAGCUGCAUUAGGAACCUCCUACACCCUUCCUGUAAGACUCAACUCCAAAUGUUAGGAAUUCAUAGGGCUCCUUAAAUCUUUGCUCUUAUUAAAAAAUAACCCAAUGAAGUUAAUGAAUUUCUCUCAUAGUCAUCUGGAGUGUGGCUGCUUGGCCUCUGGAUCUCCUCCUUGCUGGCAGGAGUCUCAAACAAAUUCGUGGCUGCUGUUCUCCACUCAGCCUCAAUGGGCAUGGAGAUGGUAAUACCACUCUUUCUCCUUUGCACCUUAUCAAUGUUUUGUUUUUAAAUCAAGCAAUGAGUUAUGGUGCCUUCAUUCUUUCCCAUGGAAGUUUCACCUUCUCAGAAGAUAACAGUUUCUGUCCAAUUUACAGACUUUAUGGUUAAAUACAACUUGUCAUUUAACUUUUAACACUAAAAGGACAAUGUAGGUGUGAUUAGACAGCAGUGGCUGGGAUCACUUAAUCUGUUUAGCUUUCCUUCUCCCAAAGGCCUGAUGGUGUGAGCAGAGCACACCCAGAGUUAAGAAGGGAUGAGGGUUGAUUUCAAUCAAUGCAAGAGGGGAGCACCUUGGUUUUGAGCCUGUGGUAGCUCUACAUGGGCCUCACAACAAAGUCUUCCCUAAAACUACAGUGAUUUGUAAUUGUAAGGAAUGGGGCCAAAGGGCCAAAGAAAGCAUCCUUACAAAGAGGAGAAUAAGAAGACUUGAGUAAUUAGAUGCUUAAGUGGCUGGGCUGGGUUUUUUAAAUGGGGAUCUGAAACCAAAGAAUAAAAGGCCUCUUUCCUAGAAAUGUUCCAGACCACGAGGUAACAAACAAGCCUCUCAUAUGUCCCAAAUUUACCUCUUAUCAUUUGUUGCUGCAGAGGGAUUAAUAAGCAAAUAUUAUCAAUUUGCUUCUUAGUAUAGGAACUUCCUUUGGGAAUAAAACCCUCAAUAUAAAAGACGAACCAGGCCGGGCGCGGUGGCUCAAGCCUGUAAUCCCAGCACUUUGGGAGGCCGAGGCGGGUGGAUCACGAGGUCAAGAGAUCGAGACCAUCCUGGUCAACGUGGUGAAACCCCGUCUCUACUAAAAAUACAAAAAAUUAGCUGGACAUGGUGGCGCGUGCCUUUAAUCCCAGCUACUCGGGAGGCUGAGGCAGGAGAAUUGCCUGAACCCAGGAGGCGGAGGUUGCGGUGAGCCGAGAUCGCGGCCAUUGCACUCCAGGCUGGGUAACAAGAGCGAAACUCCGUCUCAAGAAAAAAAAAAAAAAAAAAAAAAGAUGAACCCAGCUUAGGUGAGACAAGGUCACAGAGAAACUGGAGACAAGUGAUUACAGGGUGAGAACCCCGACCUUGCUAGCCACUUCAAACUUCUGCGGCUACAGGAGUCCUGGGGGCAUCAAUGUGUCCUACGGCACUCCCCUCAUGCUCAAGUCCUUAAACGGUGCCGAAAGGGCAGCGCUCAAGUGCACAUCUCCAAUGUUUGGGUAUUAGGCUAAAUCCUGCUUUGUGGCAGAAAGCCAGAAAACGCCGCAUAAAGAUCAGCAGCCUCCAGGAUCCUGAUAAGCAUUUGCUUGCUUAGAACACUAGUGUGGAGUGGGAAGGAGGGAGAUGAGGGCAAGACAUACAGAGGGGAUGAGAGCACGGAGGGUGCAGGAUGGGAGGUUAAUCACUGAUGCAUAGGCUGAGAGGUCAUCUGGUCCAAUCCUCCUCAUUUCACACAUGCCCGAAACUAACGGACACUUUAGCAAUGAGAAUCCGGCCCAUUUUGAAAAGCACUCAGAGAUGUAGUGUCUACCCCUUUCCCUGGCCAAAGCUGAACAGCUCUCAGUCCACCGUACUGAGGUGAAAUACCUCUCAGAACCCUACAGAUGAGAGACUAUCUGGACAAGUUUCUCAGUACUGACCGAUGGUUAUGUAGCUCUGCUAAUCCCAAACCAUUACAGUUUUGGUCAUCAGUCUUCUUUUUCCUUCUUUCUUUCUUUCUUUCUUUUUUUUUUUUUUUUUUUUUUUUUUUUUGAGACACAGUCUCACUCUGUUGCUCAGGCUCGAGUGCAGUGGUGUGAUCUUGGCUCACUGCAACUUUCGCCUCUUGGGUUCAAGCGAUUCUCCUGCCUCAGCCUCCUGAGUAGCUGGGACUACAGGCGCCUGCCACCACGCCCAGCUAAUUUUUGUAUUUUUAGUAGAGAUGGACUUUCACCAUAUUGGCCAGGCUGGUCUCGAACUCCUGACCUUGUGAUCCACCCGCCUUGGCCUCCCAAAGUGUUAGGAUUACAGGUAUGAGCCACUGCACCUGGCCGGCUCAUCAAUCUUUUAAUGCGGAGACUGGGUGGAUUGUGAGUCCGCUUUUAGAUUUCCAUGGGGACUGGCCCUGUAACCUAAAGGUCCAUCAGUACUGACAAAGAUAGUAUAAGAGAUGGCUGGUCUUCACUGACAGACACUCUAAAAACAUCUCAAGUAAAGGGUUCCUCAGUAUUAAUCAGGU